This 259-nucleotide ribosomal RNA is filed under the name uncultured bacterium. Its description in RNAcentral is "partial 16S ribosomal RNA". It matches the Rfam family "Bacterial small subunit ribosomal RNA", at positions 793 to 1050 of the family's 1533-position model. The record is from RNAcentral.
GUCCACGCCGUAAACGGUGGAUGCUGGAUGUGGGGCCCGUUCCACGGGUUCCGUGUCGGAGCUAACGCGUUAAGCAUCCCGCCUGGGGAGUACGGCCGCAAGGCUAAAACUCAAAGAAAUUGACGGGGGCCCGCACAAGCGGCGGAGCAUGCGGAUUAAUUCGAUGCAACGCGAAGAACCUUACCUGGGCUUGACAUGUUCCCGACGGUCGUAGAGAUACGGCUUCCCUUCGGGGCGGGUUCACAGGUGGUGCAUGGUC